UUAUUAUUUAGUUUAAUUUUUAUGGAUAAUUAUUAUUUAGUUUAAUCUCCUUCUCAUUUAUAAUAUUAUUUAUUUAACUAAUAAAGUAAAUUACGAUUUUGGCCCCUGUGGUUAUAGCACUUUUACUCUUUUAGCACAAACAUAAUUUUUAACAUCUGAGCCCCCAACGUCUUUUUUUCUAAUCUUUUUGGCCCCUAAUGUCUUUUUUCUAACCCUUUUAGCCCCUAACUCAGAUGUUAAGAAAUUACGGAUAAAGUUCCAUGAAUUAUCUUAUUAUUUAUUUAUAUUAAUUACUAGGUUAGAAAUUAUAUCUUAAUAAUUAGAACAAAUAUCGAGCAUUUUCAUAACGAGGGUGGAGGGAACGAUUUUCUUCUUUAUAUUAAUUACUAGAUUAGAAAUUAUAUCUUAAUAAUUGAAACAAAUAUCGAGCAUUUUCAUAACGAGGGGGGAGGGAACGAUUUUCUUGCUUAACAAAUAAUUUAUUUAUUUAAUAUAUUUAAAAUACAAGAAGAAUAAUAACUACAUUUAUCAUACUAAUAAAUUUAUCCAAAAACAAUCAUCUUUUUAAGAUGCAACUCAAGUCUAUAUGUUUAAAUUUUAAACUAUAAGUUUAUCUAAUUGGCUAAUUGCUAUAUGCCUAAUCUAAACAUUUCAACAAUAUUUUUAGAACUAAUAAAUUAAGACCACUGUUAUUUAAAUAAAACUUGGGUUCAAGUCGUGAGAAAGUCGAUGAUACAGUUUGUCUUCUAAUCGAUGGUUCAAAUGUUUUUAUAUUUAUAAACUUGACAAACAUCACAAGUUUUGAUCAUACAUAAAACAAAAUUUUGUUCGGAUAUCAGAAAAGUGUCUUAAAAUAUCGUUUUAUAAUUGUUAAAUCUUCGUUAUUAACUAUUUGGUAUUUUAUUUUCUCAACCCGUGUAAUACACGGGGUUAUAACCUAGU
This 942-nucleotide long non-coding RNA is filed under the name Helianthus annuus (common sunflower). RNAcentral's name for it is "hypothetical non coding rna". The record is from RNAcentral. Lineage: Eukaryota; Viridiplantae; Streptophyta; Magnoliopsida; Asterales; Asteraceae.